This 1142-nucleotide long non-coding RNA is filed under the name Homo sapiens (human). RNAcentral's name for it is "HSALNT0280780". The record is from RNAcentral. Lineage: Eukaryota; Metazoa; Chordata; Mammalia; Primates; Hominidae.
CCUGAGGCCACCAAGUCCUGCAGAACUGAGAUUUUUACACCUAUCUGUGAUGCUAUCUUGUGACCAUGAGGAGUGCUAAGCUGAAUCACAAAUCCACCAUGCUGAGGACAGCACAACAAAGACUUGGGGACUUAAUGGUUUCAACCAGUCACUGGGUUAACAAACCCUGGAACAAUCCCACCUCAAAACUUCAGUUACCUGUCCUGCUGACGUCAGACCCAGCACCAGGUGCAGAAGCAACCAUCAUACAAAAAUCAAGCUUCCUUAAUUAUCCUCUGAAGAGUCCCUACCAGCAAGAAGGCUCUCACCAGACGUGGCCCUUUGACCUUGGAUUUCUCAGCCUUCAAAACUCUUGAGAUGCCCGAUCCCAGGCUCACCGAAGCGAGGUGAUACCAGACUCUCCCAGGCUCACCCAGGACAUGGUUUUCAUGUAGUGCAGUGUAGCAGACACCAGAGGAAAGAAAAACUUUCAAUCAACCUAUUAUUUAAGUGACUUCUCCCACCAGGAAAGGGAGCUCUAUGUCCAUCUGCCUUCAAUUUCUGCAUUUCUACUUAUGAGACCAAUGUAACCGCCAGGCCCAGGAGUGAAACCUUACCCAACAGGCUGAGAAAAAGAAAAGAAAGAAAUUAUCUCAGGAUUAACAUGUGUUCACAUGUAUUCAGUGGGUGGCAAGUAAUGGUUACCAUGUCACUAUGGAAAUCUUUGUGCAAUCUUAACAGCACACUGAAUGGUUUGGAGGAAGCCUCUGUCUAAGGAGUUGAGUUGAAAAUUUAAAUGAUGUAAAACUGCAGUGUUAUCAUCACAGCCCUGCACAAAGCAGACAAUAGAAAAUAACACAGUUUUACAAAUAUGAUAUCUGUCUUAAGCCCUUAUCCCUUCUCUUAUGUCCCUGCAUUUCUCUUUAUUUUUUCCAUUUUUAUUUUUUCAUUUCAGUUGGUUUUUGGGGAACAGGAGGUGUUUGGUUACAUGAAUACGUUCUUUAGUGGUGAUUUCUGAGAUUUUGGUGCACCCAUCACCUGAGCAGUGUACGCUGUACCCAAUGUAUAGUCUUUGAUUCCUUGCCACCCCCCAUCCUUUCCCUGAGUCCCCAAAGUCCAAUGUAUCAUUCGUAUGCCUUUGUGUCCUCAUAGCUUUGCUCCCG